This 512-nucleotide ribosomal RNA is filed under the name uncultured bacterium. RNAcentral describes it as "partial 16S ribosomal RNA". It matches the Rfam family "Bacterial small subunit ribosomal RNA", at positions 28 to 507 of the family's 1533-position model. The record is from RNAcentral.
GAUGAACGCUGGCGGCGUGCCUAAUACAUGCAAGUCGAACGAAACUUCUUUAUCACCGAGUGCUUGCACUCACCGAUAAAGAGUUGAGUGGCGAACGGGUGAGUAACACGUGGGCAACCUGCCCAAAAGAGGGGGAUAACACUUGGAAACAGGUGCUAAUACCGCAUAACCAUAGUUACCGCAUGGUAACUAUGUAAAAGGUGGCUAUACUACCGCUUUUGGAUGGGCCCGCGGCGCAUUAGCUAGUUGGUAGGGUAAAGGCUUACCAAGGCAAUGAUGCGUAGCCGAAUUGAGAGGUUGAUCGGCCACAUUGGGACUGAGACACGGCCCAAACUCCUACGGGAGGCAGCAGUAGGGAAUCUUCCACAAUGGGCGAAAGCCUGAUGGAGCAACGCCGCGUGGGUGAAGAAGGUCUUCGGAUCGUAAAACCCUGUUGUUAGAGAAGAAAGUGCGUGAGAGCAACUGUUCACGUUUCGACGGUAUCUAACCAGAAAGCCACGGCUAACUACGUG